CCUAUGACAGUGUGUGCAAUGC
RNAcentral lists this non-coding RNA (22 nucleotides) under Arabidopsis thaliana (thale cress). Lineage: Eukaryota; Viridiplantae; Streptophyta; Magnoliopsida; Brassicales; Brassicaceae. The record is from RNAcentral.